This is a long non-coding RNA of Coffea arabica (coffee), 597 nucleotides long. RefSeq lists it as uncharacterized. NCBI's taxonomy places the organism in Eukaryota, Viridiplantae, Streptophyta, Magnoliopsida, Gentianales, Rubiaceae. The record is from RefSeq and is a predicted model, not a curated record.
AGGCCGAUCUUGCCCAACCCAUGCCAUGUCAGCCCUAAUUAAGACCGCAGCGCCAUGCUCCACACCAACUGCUAACGUGGCACCAUUGCCUUCGCACGAUUCAUCUGAAAUAAGCUAGACGGCCGGAUCCAAAGUACUCCUAAAAUUUAUAAGGGGAAUAGGGUUACAUUCCUUCCUUCGUCUCUAUCAUUCUGCAUCAUCCCUGUAGCCGCUGCUCUAUCACCACCGGCCUUUACCCAAUUUCAGUUGCUGAAAUUUCUCCGGUCCUACUGCAAUGCUGAUCAUCAGGAAUGAAACUCUAUUCAUAGCGAGCAUUGGUUCUGCCUAUGUCUUGGUCCAGCUUGGAUUCAUGGCUUUUGAGAAGUGGUCUGGGCGAGAUAAACGGUCCAGGUUGGAGGGCCUGUACGAUGGGACUAGCAAAGGGAAAAGGGAUUAGCUGUUUGUCUAGGUUGCUAAUGGGGCGAUGAAUUGAGUUUGACAUUCUGAUACUAGUAGUGAAAGUGCUGGCAUAGAUAUAUGUAACCUCUGAGAAGUUAUCUUGAAAAUUCUUUUGAUGUCUUCAUUAUGAGAAGUUAUCUUGAAAAUUCUUUUGAUGUC